CCUACGGGUGGCUGCAGUGGGGAAUAUUGCACAAUGGGCGCAAGCCUGAUGCAGCCAUGCCGCGUGUGUGAAGAAGGCCUUCGGGUUGUAAAGCACUUUCAGCGGGGAGGAAGGCGGUGAGGUUAAUAACCUCAUCGAUUGACGUUACCCGCAGAAGAAGCACCGGCUAACUCCGUGCCAGCAGCCGCGGUAAUACGGAGGGUGCAAGCGUUAAUCGGAAUUACUGGGCGUAAAGCGCACGCAGGCGGUCUGUCAAGUCGGAUGUGAAAUCCCCGGGCUCAACCUGGGAACUGCAUUCGAAACUGGCAGGCUAGGGGCUUGUUGAGGGGGGGAGAAUUCCAGGUGGAGCGGUGAAAUGCGUAGAGAUCUGGAGGAAUACCGGUUGCGAAGGCGGCCCCCUGGACAAAGACUGACGCUCAGGUGCGAAAGCGUGGGGAGCAAACAGGAUUAGAUACCCGAGUAGUC
This 465-nucleotide ribosomal RNA is filed under the name uncultured Klebsiella sp. RNAcentral's name for it is "bacterial SSU rRNA". It matches the Rfam family "Bacterial small subunit ribosomal RNA", at positions 338 to 795 of the family's 1533-position model. The record is from RNAcentral. Lineage: Bacteria; Pseudomonadati; Pseudomonadota; Gammaproteobacteria; Enterobacterales; Enterobacteriaceae.